UAGGGAAUAUUAGUAAUGGGCGAACGCCUGAACUAGCAACGCCGCGUGUGCGAAGAAGGCCUUCGGGUUGUAAAGCACUUUUUGAGAGGAUGAGGAAGGACGGUACUCUCAGAAUAAGUCUCGGCUAACUACGUGCCAGCAGCCGCGGUAACACGUAGGAGGCAAACGUUAUCCGGAUUUACUGGGCGUAAAGCGCGUGUAGGUGGUUUGGUAAGUAGGGCGUGAAAGCUCCUGGCUCAACUGGGAGAGGCCGUUCUAAGCUGCCGAACUAGAGGAUGGUAGAGGGAGGUGGAAUUCCGGGUGUAGCGGUGGAAUGCGCAGAUAUCCGGAGGAACACCAGUGGCGAAAGCGGCCUCCUGGACCAUUCCUGACACUCAGACGCCAAAGCUAGGGUAGCAAACGG
RNAcentral lists this ribosomal RNA (403 nucleotides) under uncultured bacterium. RNAcentral describes it as "bacterial SSU rRNA". It matches the Rfam family "Bacterial small subunit ribosomal RNA", at positions 355 to 775 of the family's 1533-position model. The record is from RNAcentral.